GGGGUUGUGGCUCAGUGGUAGAGUGCUUGCUUAGCAUGUGUGAGGCACUGGGUUCAAUUCUCAGCACCA
This 69-nucleotide transfer RNA is filed under the name Marmota marmota marmota (Alpine marmot). It matches the Rfam family "tRNA". Rfam says of the family: Transfer RNA (tRNA) molecules are approximately 80 nucleotides in length. Their secondary structure includes four short double-helical elements and three loops (D, anti-codon, and T loops). RNAcentral also lists the same sequence under 4 other names. The record is from Rfam by way of RNAcentral. Lineage: Eukaryota; Metazoa; Chordata; Mammalia; Rodentia; Sciuridae.